CACUAAGCAGUGGCAGAAUUGAGUAAC
RNAcentral lists this non-coding RNA (27 nucleotides) under Homo sapiens (human). The record is from RNAcentral. Lineage: Eukaryota; Metazoa; Chordata; Mammalia; Primates; Hominidae.